This 497-nucleotide ribosomal RNA is filed under the name uncultured bacterium. RNAcentral describes it as "partial 16S ribosomal RNA". It matches the Rfam family "Bacterial small subunit ribosomal RNA", at positions 28 to 507 of the family's 1533-position model. The record is from RNAcentral.
GAUGAACGCUGGCGGCGUGCCUAAUACAUGCAAGUCGAGCGAACAGACGAGGAGCUUGCUCCUCUGACGUUAGCGGCGGACGGGUGAGUAACACGUGGAUAACCUACCUAUAAGACUGGGAUAACUUCGGGAAACCGGAGCUAAUACCGGAUAAUAUAUUGAACCGCAUGGUUCAAUAGUGAAAGACGGUUUUGCUGUCACUUAUAGAUGGAUCCGCGCCGCAUUAGCUAGUUGGUAAGGUAACGGCUUACCAAGGCAACGAUGCGUAGCCGACCUGAGAGGGUGAUCGGCCGCACUGGAACUGAGACACGGUCCAGACUCCUACGGGAGGCAGCAGUAGGGAAUCUUCCGCAAUGGGCGAAAGCCUGACGGAGCAACGCCGCGUGAGUGAUGAAGGUCUUCGGAUCGUAAAACUCUGUUAUUAGGGAAGAACAAAUGUGUAAGUAACUAUGCACGUCUUGACGGUACCUAAUCAGAAGGCCACGGCUAACUACGUG